This 497-nucleotide ribosomal RNA is filed under the name uncultured bacterium. RNAcentral describes it as "partial 16S ribosomal RNA". It matches the Rfam family "Bacterial small subunit ribosomal RNA", at positions 28 to 507 of the family's 1533-position model. The record is from RNAcentral.
GAUGAACGCUGGCGGCGUGCCUAAUACAUGCAAGUCGAGCGAACAGACGAGGAGCUUGCUCCUCUGACGUUAGCGGCGGACGGGUGAGUAACACGUGGAUAACCUACCUAUAAGACUGGGAUAACUUCGGGAAACCGGAGCUAAUACCGGAUAAUAUAUUGAACCGCAUGGUUCAAUAGUGAAAGACGGUUUUGCUGUCACUUAUAGAUGGAUUCGCGCCGCAUUAGCUAGUUGGUAAGGUAACGGCUUACCAAGGCAACGAUGCGUAGCCGACCUGAGAGGGUGGUCGGCCACACUGGAACUGAGACACGGUCCAGACUCCUACGGGAGGCAGCAGUAGGGAAUCUUCCGCAAUGGGCGAAAGCCUGACGGAGCAACGCCGCGUGAGUGAUGAAGGUCUUCGGAUCGUAAAACUCUGUUAUUAGGGAAGAACAAAUGUGUAAGUAACUAUGCACGUCUUGACGGUACCUAAUCAGAAAGCCACGGCUAACUACGUG